GUGCCGGCAGCCGCGGUAAUACCGGCAGCCCGAGUGAUGGCCGAUCUUAUUGGGCCUAAAGCGCCUGUAGCUGGCCGCGCAAGUCCAUCGGGAAAUCCACCCGCCCAACGGGUGGCCGUCCGGUGGAAACUACACGGCUUGGGACCGGAAGGCGCGACGGGUACGUCCAGGGUAGGAGUGAAAUCCCGUAAUCCUGGACGGACCGCCGAUGGCGAAAGCACGUCGCGAGAACGGAUCCGACAGUGAGGGACGAAAGCUAGGGUCUCGAACCGGAUUAGAAACCCUAGUAGUCC
RNAcentral lists this ribosomal RNA (293 nucleotides) under uncultured bacterium. RNAcentral describes it as "partial 16S ribosomal RNA". It matches the Rfam family "Archaeal small subunit ribosomal RNA", at positions 455 to 747 of the family's 1478-position model. The record is from RNAcentral.